This 777-nucleotide ribosomal RNA is filed under the name uncultured Neocallimastigales. RNAcentral's name for it is "partial large subunit ribosomal RNA". It matches the Rfam family "Eukaryotic large subunit ribosomal RNA", at positions 24 to 645 of the family's 3401-position model. Lineage: Eukaryota; Fungi; Neocallimastigomycota; Neocallimastigomycetes; Neocallimastigales. The record is from RNAcentral.
UAUCUCUGUAGAGUCUGCAUAUCAAUAAGCGGAGGAAAAGAAACUAACUAGGAUUCCCUUAGUAACGGCGAGUGAAGCGGGAAGAGCUCAAAUCUGAAAUCUUCAAGGUUCUACCUAGACGAAUUGUAGUUUAAAGAAGUGUUUUCUGUUGGAAUUUUCGGUAAAGGUUCUUUGGAAAUAGGACAUCAAUAGAGGGUGAGAAUCCCGUAUUUGACCAUUAUUUCAGCUGUGUGAUACACUUUCAAAGAGUCGGAUUGUUUGGGAAUGCAGUCCAAAAUGGGUGGUAAAUUUCAUCUAAAGCUAAAUAUUGGCGAGAGACCGAUAGCGAACAAGUACCGUGAGGGAAAGAUGAAAGAACUUUGAAAAGAGAGUUAAACAGUACGUGAAAUUGUCAAAAGGGAAGCGUUUGACACCAGUGUUGUUUUCUCGAAAAUCAUAUUAAAAAAGAUUGGAUUUUGUGUUGUAUUGACUUUAUCAGCUUUCUGCACUCUUUUUCUUGUCUUUUUUAAUGCACUUUUCGUUUAACAAGUCAACAUCAAUUUCUUUUGUUGUAAAAGGGUCAUUGGAAGGUGGCUUUCUUUUCGGAGAAAGUGUUUAUAGCCUUUGGCCUCUGCAAUCGGAGAGAUUGAGGUCUGCAGCGUAGAUCCUUCGGGGUUAGAUACAUUUGUGCUAAGUUAUAGCCUUUCAUAGACAACUUGUUGACUAUGAUCAGUCAUGUAGCUUACUCGCUUAUGCUAUUUUACCUACGCUUAGGAUGUUGAUCUCUCACAGUCGAGC